RNAcentral lists this ribosomal RNA (434 nucleotides) under uncultured Sinobacteraceae bacterium. Its description in RNAcentral is "bacterial SSU rRNA". It matches the Rfam family "Bacterial small subunit ribosomal RNA", at positions 948 to 1382 of the family's 1533-position model. The record is from RNAcentral. Lineage: Bacteria; Pseudomonadati; Pseudomonadota; Gammaproteobacteria; Nevskiales; Nevskiaceae.
AAUUCGAUGCAACGCGAAGAACCUUACCUGGGCUUGACAUCCCGGGAAUCCCUUGGAAACAAGGGAGUGCCCUUCGGGAACCUGGAGACAGGUGCUGCAUGGCUGUCGUCAGCUCGUGUCGUGAGAUGUAGGGUUAAGUCCCGCAACGAGCGCAACCCUUGUCUUUAAUUGCCAUCAUUGAGUUGGGCACUUUAAAGAGACUGCCGGUGUUAAACCGGAGGAAGGUGGGGAUGACGUCAAGUCCUCAUGGCCUUUAUGCCCAGGGCUACACACGUGCUACAAUGGUCUGUACAAUGGGUAGCCAAGCCGCGAGGCGGAGCCAAUCCUGAAAGCAGGCCUCAGUUCAGAUUGCAGUCUGCAACUCGACUGCAUGAAGCCGGAGUUGCUAGUAACCGCAGGUCAGCAAUACUGCGGUGAAUACGUUCCCGGGUCUU